GAUGAACGCUGGCGGCGUGCCUAAUACAUGCAAGUCGAGCGAACGGACGAGAAGCUUGCUCCCCUGAGGUUAGCGGCGGACGGGUGAGUAACACGUGGAUAACCUACUUAUAAGACUGGGAUAACUUCGGGAAACCGGAGCUAAUACCGGAUAAUAUUUUGAACCGCAUGGUUCAAAAGUGAAAGACGGUCUUGCUGUCACUUAUAGAUGGAUCCGCGCUGCAUUAGCUAGUUGGUAAGGUAACGGCCUACCAAGGCAACGAUGCAUAGCCGACCUGAGAGGGUGAUCAGCCACACUGGAACUGAGACACGGUCCAGACUCCUACGGGAGGCAGCAGUAGGGAAUCUUCGGCAAUGGGCGAAAGCCUGACGGAGCCACGCCGCGUGAGUGAAGAAGGUCUUCGGGUUGUAAAACUCUGUUAUUAGGGAAGAACAGCAGUGGGAGUAACUGUGCACAUCUUGACGGUACCUAAUCAGAAAGCCACGGCUAACUACGUG
This 497-nucleotide ribosomal RNA is filed under the name uncultured bacterium. RNAcentral's name for it is "partial 16S ribosomal RNA". It matches the Rfam family "Bacterial small subunit ribosomal RNA", at positions 28 to 507 of the family's 1533-position model. The record is from RNAcentral.